CCUACGGGCGGCAGCAGUGGGGAAUAUUGCACAAUGGGGGAAACCCUGAUGCAGCGACGCCGCGUGAGUGAAGAAGUAUUUCGGUACGUAAAGCUCUAUCAGCAGGGAAGAAAAUGACGGUAUCUGACUAAUAAGCCCCGGCUAACUCCGUGCCAGCAGCCGCGGUAAUACGUAGGGGGCAAGCGUUAUCCGGAUUUACUGGGUGUAAAGGGAGCGUAGACGGCAGCGCAAGUCUGGAGUGAAAUCCCAUGGCUUAACCAUGGAACUGCUUUGGAAACUGUGAAGCUAGAGUGCAGGAGAGGUAAGCGGAAUUCCUAGUGUAGCGGUGAAAUGCGUAGAUAUUAGGAGGAACACCAGUGGCGAAGGCGGCUUACUGGACUGUAACUGACGUUGAGGCUCGAAAGCGUGGGGAGCAAACAGGAUUAGAUACCCGAGUAGUC
Molecule: ribosomal RNA, 440 nt
Filed under: uncultured bacterium
Lineage: Bacteria
Description: partial 16S ribosomal RNA
Rfam family: Bacterial small subunit ribosomal RNA
Source: RNAcentral